CCCUACAUGUGUAGGAUAGGUGGGAGGCUUUGAAGACGGUACGCCAGUAUCGUUGGAGCCGUCCUUGAAAUACCACCCUUGUAGUGUUGAUGUUCUAACUUAGUCCCCUUAUCGGGGAUGAGGACAGUGCCUGGUGGGUAGUUUGACUGGGGCGGUCUCCUCCCAAAGAGUAACGGAGGAGCACGAAGGUGGGCUAAACACGGUUGGACAUCGUGUGGUUAGUGCAAUGGCAUAAGCCCGCUUGACUGCGAGAAUGACAAUUCGAGCAGGUGCGAAAGCAGGUCAUAGUGAUCCGGUGGUUCUGAAUGGAAGGGCCAUCGCUCAACGGAUAAAAGGUACUCCGGGGAUAACAGGCUGAUACCGCCCAAGAGUUCAUAUUCGACGGCGGUGUUUGGCACCUCGAUGUCGGCUCAUCACAUCCUGGGGCUGAAGUCGGUCCCAAGGGUAUGGCUGUUCGCCAUUUAAAGUGGUACGCGAGC
RNAcentral lists this ribosomal RNA (479 nucleotides) under Vibrio breoganii. RNAcentral's name for it is "bacterial LSU rRNA". It matches the Rfam family "Bacterial large subunit ribosomal RNA", at positions 2128 to 2605 of the family's 2925-position model. Lineage: Bacteria; Pseudomonadati; Pseudomonadota; Gammaproteobacteria; Vibrionales; Vibrionaceae. The record is from RNAcentral.